GGCAAAGAUAUCUCUAAUGAGACAGAGAGGGGUAUUUAAAAAAAAAAAAAAAUACCCCUCUCUGUCUCAUUAGAGAUAUUUUUGCC
Molecule: microRNA precursor, 86 nt
Filed under: Pelobates cultripes (western spadefoot toad)
Lineage: Eukaryota; Metazoa; Chordata; Amphibia; Anura; Pelobatidae
Source: RNAcentral